GACGAACCGUGCGAACGUUGUUCGGAAUCACUGGGCUUAAAGGGCGCGUAGGCGGCUUGUCAAGUCAGGGGUGAAAUCCGGCAGCUUAACUGUCGAAGUGCCUCUGAUACUGACAAGCUCGAGGGAGGUAGGGGUCUGUGGAACUUCUGGUGGAGCGGUGAAAUGCGUUGAUAUCAGAAGGAACGCCGGUGGCGAAAGCGACGGACUGGACCUUUUCUGACGCUGAGGCGCGAAAGCUAGGGGAGCAAACGGG
Molecule: ribosomal RNA, 253 nt
Filed under: uncultured bacterium
Lineage: Bacteria
Description: partial 16S ribosomal RNA
Rfam family: Bacterial small subunit ribosomal RNA
Source: RNAcentral